CCUCUGAUAGCUCAGCUGGAAGAGCGCAAGACUGUAAUUGCCUGUUCUUUAUAGAACUAGUCAUCUUGAGGCCCUCGGUUCGAUCCCGAGUCAGAGGA
Molecule: transfer RNA, 98 nt
Filed under: Penicillium vulpinum
Lineage: Eukaryota; Fungi; Ascomycota; Eurotiomycetes; Eurotiales; Aspergillaceae
Rfam family: tRNA
About the family: Transfer RNA (tRNA) molecules are approximately 80 nucleotides in length. Their secondary structure includes four short double-helical elements and three loops (D, anti-codon, and T loops). Further hydrogen bonds mediate the characteristic L-shaped molecular structure. tRNAs have two regions of fundamental functional importance: the anti-codon, which is responsible for specific mRNA codon recognition, and the 3' end, to which the tRNAs corresponding amino acid is attached (by aminoacyl-tRNA synthetases). tRNAs cope with the degeneracy of the genetic code in two manners: having more than one tRNA (with a specific anti-codon) for a particular amino acid; and 'wobble' base-pairing, i.e. permitting non-standard base-pairing at the 3rd anti-codon position.
Source: Rfam by way of RNAcentral